GGGCGGCAGCAGCCGUAGCAGCAGCGAGCGUCCGCGUCCCGGUGGGGUGUCCCCCGCCAUCCCGCUGCGGAACGGGUGGGCGCCGGCCAUCCCCCUUCCUCCUCGCGGGUGAUGGCCUUGGCCGGGGCGGUGGCGGCGGCGGCGGGCUGGAGGGCUCUCUGGGCGCCGCGCCGCGCCAGGCCCGCUGCGCGACUGGCUGCCCUCCCGGCUCGGGGUGAGCGUCUGGCGCCGGGCCCUGGCUGGCAUGAGGCUGGAGCGCAGGAGGCCGCUGGUGCGCGGUGCGGACGGGGGGGGAUCCGGUACGGCCUCUGCAAAGCCCACCUGGGCCCCGUGCCCUGAAGCUGCCCCUUCGUGCUGCGAUGAGGUAGCAGGCAGGCCGCUGGGACCGCCUGCAGCCGCGCUGGGAGAAAAGCCUUUCCUUAAGGAACUGGGCAGCUGCUGACUCAGGAGCUACAUCGAGUCAGAGGAAUGGAAAGGGGGUCACAUUUCCCAAGUGCCUGAGACAUGCUGCAGUGAGGGUUGGGAUAGCGACGGGGACCUCCUACUUGCUGUCCCAUCUUGGAAUGGCGAUCAUAGCGGUGUGUGGUGCCCACUGGUAUGUGUUGGAUGUGCUCUGAGCAGGCUGCACGGCCAGGGUCAUGGGGCUCAUCUUGCAUGGAAACGUGUCUGAGCUCCAAAUUCCAGCGCCGGACUCAGGGCAACGAGAGGCACGGAGCUACCCAACAUUGGGUGAUUCUGAGUAUGCAAAAGGCAGAAUGUCCUCUAUCUUGGCAUCCUAAAAAUAGGAUUCCAGAGCCUCCAGGAUUAGGCAUUGGUUGAGCAAGGGCUUUGGGAGGGCAGUUCUGAACUUUAAUGCCUCAGUUCUGCCGUGGUCCCACUUCUAGUAUUGAAGGCCUUACAUUCCUUGCAGCUCGUGAGCGUUGCUUAAAUGUACUGCUUAAAUCUAACUGGCAUGCAGUUAGACCUAAACUGGCCCUGCAAACUCCUGGAAUCUGAAAAGUUGAAUUCUUCCAUUCACACGCACCCUCACUUGCCUUGCAAAUAAUUUCCUUCAGUCUAGAAUGCCAUUGUGUUAAAGGUGUGCAUUUUAAGUCCUUCACUGCUUUGGAGAGCCAAUGGCAGCGACACUGAGACCUGAUUUUUUUGGGGGUGGGGGGUGUGUGCGUACCAUUUAAGUGGUCAUACGUAAGUGAAUACACACUGAGAACUGAUCUGCUCAAGAGCCUGCUCUUUCUAAAAACAGCAGCAACUCUUUAUAACAGGCACGUUACGCUCAAAAUGUAUCUAGGCAGAGGUAUUAUAAGCCUUGUUUUACCAAAAUGGAUUUCUUUUUUUGCCUUGGAACUAAGCAGGGAAAACUAAGGAGGAGCUGUAGCUGAGGUCUGACAGAUGUUCAACUACGUGAAGCUUAAAGAGGAACGUAUGCUAUUCAGUUUGCUCACAGAGGCUUUGUGACCUGUGUCUUCGCAGUAAUGAUGACACAAGCUUUUUUGAAUAAAAGGAAGACAUUAACUGCCUUGGCUAAUUGUACCCUUGCUAGCUAGCUAACCGAGGACACCACUUGACUGUGAAAAUUGUUGGUGCACCCAAAUCUCUCAGCUGGGUAGAACACCUGAGGUGAGAGUGUUCCUGUAUCUGCGGGUUAAAAGGGCUAUUUAAAAAUCUUCCUAAUUGGAAAAUUAAACACUCUUGCUUUAAAACAGUGGUGCACUGCUUUGAAAAAUUAAGACCCUAUGGACUCGUUUAUUACUUUUCAAUAUGUAUUCAGUCUGGUGCAAUUUUAUGUACCCGCUAAUGCAUAAAGUCUUUUGGAACAGGAAUAAAGCACCACGAAGCGUGAUUUAAUGCUACAGGGUCACCAAAUGUGUUUCAGAUUACUGGAUGUUUCAGUCUACUGAAAAGAAGGGGAUGUCCCUGAAACAAUGGCAGGAAGGGGGGGAAGCCCAUAAAUCUGAAACUCUUUGGAAAUAUAGUACACGUAGCAACAAAAGCUCUAAAGGAUUCAGUGGGGAUUUGGUCACAUAAGAGAUAUAGUUAUGAAAUAAAUUAUACUAAGUAAUAGGAAAGUUAAAACAAAGUCAGUAUUAGUAAUACAAUAUGCAGUUGCAAUUUAAGGCGUCUUAAUGAAUCAUGUUUUCAAAGAGUACAGACCUACAUAAGCAUGUGACUGGGAGAGAAAAUAAGAGCAAGUAAUCUGGGAGUGCACAAAAGUGCUUUUGUUUAUAGUUCUGCAGUCACUGGAAGUGCCUAUUCUUGUGCUUAUUCACAAACACCUCUGGCUCUUUCUCGCAGAAAUCCUAUCCAAACACUUUUGUUCCAACUUUGUUAGAGGAGGGCUUGGUGCUUUGGUUCUUUCCCUAUGACUUCUGCAAGGCUCAGUCUCACAGUGCCCUUCCCCUGGCAAGGGGCUGAGAUGGGUCUGAUGCCUUGGCCGCUUGUUUUAUUGCUUAGUGACAAGCAGUGGGGCAAUCUAUGCUUUUGGGGCUGGGCGUUGUCCUCCCGCUGGACCAGCAAGAGGAGGCCGAGCCUGACAAGUGAACCAUGCACGGUUCGUGCCACCUGGCAAUGAGCUCUGCAGGCACGGCAGGCAGUCUUUAUACCUUUACCGUGAACCUGAGGGCAGUGUAACCGUCUGCCUAGUUAUAAUUUAACAUAAAGCCCAUUUUUCAUCUCCCUGUGGUGCUGUGCUUUCUUUUAAAUGUCACCUGUAGAGUCUCCCAGUGAGUGGGAGUUCAGCCUGCUUUGUGUUUCUUGCAGAUACCAACAGAAACUUUUUCAUAGGAACAUGAUCCACUAAGUUACUGAAAAAGAGCCAGAUUCUUUCUUAGAGACGUAAGCAAGCCAAAAAGAGUUUCCAACUUUGUAACUUCUAUACUUCAAUCAAACUGUUUUGUCAGUAUGUAUUUGUCAUUUGUAACCAGCAGACUAAUUGACUGGUUCUUUUAUUAAGGUUUAAAUCGUACGUUUUCAGAAGAGUUAUUAAGCAAGUGAAUUAAUCUUCAUCUUUCCUGUAGCACUGAAGCUUAUUCAUCACUCUUGUGCCUUCUAUCAUUCGUUAAACAUUUGAUAACCGACGGGAGUAAUUUCGAAUAAGUUCAGAUCUUCUGUUCGAAAUAAACACAGGGUGUAUCUGCUGCUUCUGGAUCAACACCUUAACGUGACCUCUCCCGCCUGCUCAACUUGUAGCAUCAAAAUAAAAUUCUUCAGGCAAGAUGAAGACCAUUGGAUGAGCACAUAAUAAGGAUUAAAACAAAUACCAUUGAGAAGUAGUUGCCAUCUUUGGUUAACUUUUCUCCAGAUCCUGUAUCAUAGCCGCUGGAAAAUGUUAAAAAAAAAUCCUCUUUAAAAAUCCUUUAAAAACUUUCCUGAGAGCAGCUGUCAGUUCAGGCAUGUGUUCCAACUUUAACUUGUAUGUAUGACUGGUAAGGCUAUUACUUGUCCAUAGAUGGCAAUAGCAUAACACUGCUGCGGUAGCCCGCAGCCUAUGGAAUGAGUGGCGAGUAUUAACUUGGGGAAUGGAAAGAAAAAAGUAAUCUUGCUGCCUUUUUUUUUUUCCUAUUAUUUUCUUUUUUGGUUGCUGCAGUGGUGCUGGGGACUGUUCUACUUGCAGGAAUGUUGGGACUAAUCAUGUGAGAAAAGAUCCUGGAGUGAUGAGGCAGCAUUUUUCCCAUGUCUGAGGUCAGGAUUUGUUCUGCGAAGCUGACCUUUAAAACAGCCUGAAAAUGAGGAACGUGGCACCAGAGAGCAGAGCAGGAAGCAUGAAAUGAUGUAAGAUAUGUUUCUUCUGCAUAUGAAAUACUUUUUUUUUUAAAGCUCCAGGUUUGUGAUUCAGCAUUUUCUGCCACUGACAGAAUGUAAGAAAGGGGAAAAUUCUGUGGGGAAAAUAAAGUUCCUAUUUUUCCAGUCAAAACCUAAUAAAAUAUUAUAUAUCAGA
Molecule: long non-coding RNA, 3934 nt
Organism: Colius striatus (speckled mousebird)
Lineage: Eukaryota; Metazoa; Chordata; Aves; Coliiformes; Coliidae
Exons: 2
Source: RefSeq, a predicted model, not a curated record